This 51-nucleotide transfer RNA is filed under the name Bactrurus brachycaudus. RNAcentral describes it as "tRNA-Ser". Lineage: Eukaryota; Metazoa; Arthropoda; Malacostraca; Amphipoda; Crangonyctidae. The record is from RNAcentral.
AGCUAUAUGACAUGUACUUUGAAAGUACAUAUAAGAUUAUUCUAAUAGCUU